AACCAUUGACUCCAAAGGUCGUGCAUAUGCCUGCAAAGAGUCAGGAGACUCUUUGGAGGCUAUGAGUCAGGAGAAGGAAGGCCUACAGCUCUUGCUAACUGCCAAGGAUUCCUUUUUCUGGCCCACUGUACCAGACCUGCCCAAGCAUGUUCAUUUCACUUCUGAGUGUCUGCAUUCUCAUUCUUUUUCUGUUGCAGAGACUCUCUGUUCCCAGCCCUUCUCAGAGGCACUGAAGAAUGAGGAGAUGAGUCUUUGAUUUGGAUCAAUGACUAACAAGAACCUAGUUAUAAACAGCUAAUUUCCUAAAACCCAGACAUAGUGUUCCCAGUUGAAAGAAUUAUGCCUCUACCCACCAUCCCUCUCCUCUGACCUUCAUGUUGUCUCUCUCAUAACCCUUUAUCCUUCAGGUAUGUCUUUAGAAUUGGGAAGAGCUCAGAACAUUUUAGAGCCUGAAAGGAAGGUCCAGGGUAGAAGGUUCUGGCCUCUGACCUCCUUCAUGAAUGAGGACCAAAGAAGAAUGCUCUGAACGGAAAUGUUCAUGUGACCAUUGUUCAGAAGCAGGAGUUUCUUGGCCUUGGGGUAAGCGAUUUUGCUCAGCCACAUCCAUCCUCCCAGAACAAUGGGGCCAGGUGAUUACGGACUGGAACCUUCAAUUCUUUCCAGGGGCUCAAGCAUUGCACAUUGGGAAGGAAAGCACUGUCCAGUCUGCCACUGGCGUGAGAGAGACAAACACAGCAGUUUUGUGACUGAAAAGGCAACCUGGCAGAAAUGGCAGAAAGCGGCAGAAGUCAGACUUGGAGGACUUUUCAUCAAAGCCACCAGUGAACAAGCAUUUCUCAUGAGCUCUCUCAUUCUUGUACAUCAACCAUCAGAGAGAUGAAGAAAGAAGCAGAUGCCGGUGAUAGCGGGACAAAGCAGGGCCGUCUGAUGACUCUUUUCAGUGAUGACAAUGGGGUGAAUUCUAUCAUGACUCCCUCACCUACUCCACAGUACAAGGCGGCAUGUUGAAAUCAUGAUAGAUAAUUUGAGCAAGUGUGACAAGCUGGUGCCAUGACAUCCUUGGAGCAGGAGAAACACCUUGUUGAUGACAUUUGGUUGCACUGAUCUACUACCAGGGACUUCCUUCAAUCCGGCUUUUUCCUACUCACACUCCGUUUGAC
Long non-coding RNA from Meriones unguiculatus (Mongolian gerbil), 1160 nucleotides. RefSeq lists it as uncharacterized. The transcript is spliced from 6 exons. The record is from RefSeq and is a predicted model, not a curated record. Lineage: Eukaryota; Metazoa; Chordata; Mammalia; Rodentia; Muridae.